AUUGAACGCUGGCGGCAGGCUUAACACAUGCAAGUCGAGCGGGGUGAUGGUGCUUGCACUAUCACUUAGCGGCGGACGGGUGAGUAAUGCUUAGGAAUCUGCCUAUUAGUGGGGGACAACAUCUCGAAAGGGAUGCUAAUACCGCAUACGUCCUACGGGAGAAAGCAGGGGAUCACUUGUGACCUUGCGCUAAUUGAUGAGCCUAAGUCGGAUUAGCUAGUUGGUGGGGUAAAGGCCUACCAAGGCGACGAUCUGUAGCGGGUCUGAGAGGAUGAGCCGCCACACUGGGACUGAGACACGGCCCAGACUCCUACGGGAGGCAGCGGUGGGGAAUAUUGGACAAUGGGGGGAACCCUGAUCCAGCCAUGCCGCGUGUGUGAAGAAGGCCUUAUGGUUGUAAAGCACUUUAAGCGAGGAGGAGGCUCUUUUGGUUAAUACCCAAGAUGAGUGGACGUUACUCGCAGAAUAAGCACCGGCUAACUCUGUGCCAGCCGCCGCCGUAA
This 503-nucleotide ribosomal RNA is filed under the name uncultured bacterium. Its description in RNAcentral is "partial 16S ribosomal RNA". It matches the Rfam family "Bacterial small subunit ribosomal RNA", at positions 30 to 523 of the family's 1533-position model. The record is from RNAcentral.